GACGGAGGAUGCAAGUGUUAUCCGGAAUCACUGGGCGUAAAGCGUCUGUAGGUGGUUUAAAAAGUCCACUGUUAAAGAUUGAAGCUUAACUUCAAAAAUGCCGUGGAAACUUUUAAACUUGAGUAUGAUAGGGGUAGAGGGAAUUUCCAGUGGAGCGGUGAAAUGCGUAGAUAUUGGAAAGACCACCAAUGGCGAAGGCACUCUACUGGGCCAUUACUGACACUGAGGCGCGAAAGCUAGGGGAGCAAACAGG
Molecule: ribosomal RNA, 253 nt
Filed under: uncultured bacterium
Lineage: Bacteria
Description: partial 16S ribosomal RNA
Rfam family: Bacterial small subunit ribosomal RNA
Source: RNAcentral